UUACGGUCAUAUCACAUUGAAACACUGGGUCUCAUAUGAUCACUGAAUUUCAGCAACAUCAUGAUUGGUCAGUAAUUAGAUGGGUGACCGCUUGGGAAUACCAGGUUUUGU
Acanthosepion pharaonis is the source of this 111-nucleotide non-coding RNA. NCBI's taxonomy places the organism in Eukaryota, Metazoa, Mollusca, Cephalopoda, Sepiida, Sepiidae. The record is from the annotation of a GenBank genome assembly.